UACGUAGGGUGCAAGCGUUGUCCGGAAUUAUUGGGCGUAAAGAGCUCGUAGGCGGUUUGUCGCGUCUGCUGUGAAAACCCGCGGCUCAACUGUGGGCGGGCAGCUGAUACGGGCAGGCUGGAGUUCGGUAGGGGAGACUGGAAUUCCUGGUGUAGCGGUGAAAUGCGCAGAUAUCAGGAGGAACACCGGUGGUGUAGACGGCUUCCUGGACCGUAGCUGACGCUGAGACACGAAAGCGUGGGUAGCAAACAGG
This 253-nucleotide ribosomal RNA is filed under the name uncultured bacterium. Its description in RNAcentral is "partial 16S ribosomal RNA". It matches the Rfam family "Bacterial small subunit ribosomal RNA", at positions 524 to 776 of the family's 1533-position model. The record is from RNAcentral.